CCGCCAUAAAGCCACGAAGAAGAAGAAGACGGAGUGGGAGGAGGAAAGAGGAAAGUGAGCUAAACAAAACAAACUGUGCCUUUAAGUGUUUCAGCGUGUUAAAUCUCUCUUAAACAAGAGGAUGGCGACCUUCAGCAGACGGGCUCUGGACAGGACCUACUCUGUGGUCUUGCUGGCUGUCGUGGUCUUGUCCUGGUCUUAUGUGAUCUACGCCAGCAGGAUCGCAUCUUAUUGGCUGUUGGAGAAGAGGACCGCCCUCCUCCUGCAAAACUGACCGCCAGCAACAGGCUGAUGGACAGUUUUUAAACCUUGUGGGGUUCAAUCCUCUUACAGACAGAGAGACUCGACCUGACAGACCUGUGGAGGCCGGCCGUACUGAAGCACAUUGUUAAAACACAACAGAAGUGGACUGAAGCCUCGUGACCUCUGAAAGCCUCCCGCCUGACUGGCCCUGAACGGGAACGAUGGGAGAAUCACGAUGAAAUCAACACAAGCAAUUAUGGGUACAAUAUUUGUUGUUGGUCGUUCGGCAGCUGGAGGUGGGCGGAUGAAGCCUCAUGAAACGAUUUGAGGUGUGCUGACGUCUGCUGGUUUGUAGAGCUUCCACAAAGCACCAGAACACCUCCCUGUUUUAUUAUGUGUGUAAUGAAAGUCCAAGAAGCCUGCGUGAUAUUUAUUAUAUUUCCAAAACUUCACUACAGCUGAAACGAUUAAUAGAUUAGUUCAUCAACAGAACAUUUAUUGUUUCGCUGGUUUCAGCUUCUUAAAUGUGAAUAUUUUCUAGUUUCUGUUAGUAAACAAGUAUUUGUUAGGUUUCGUUUCAGAAAUUGUGAUAAACAAUUUUCAAUAUUUUAUUAAUUCCUGGAGGAAAUUAUAAAGGGAACAACUUCCAGCACCUCUAGUGGUUUUACAGGAGCUGAUGUGCCAGAUGCUUUGUUGGACAGAGCCAGGUUAGCUGUUUCCAGUCUUUAUGCUAAGCUAAGCUAGGGCUGGGCAAUAAAAUAAUAAUGGUAAUAUUUAUAUAUAUCACGUUUCUCAAUAGCAAAUGUUCAAUAAAUGUUUGAUUUAAUUAAUCUGAACCAAACAAAUCAGGGCUUCACUUUAAAGAUAUUUUAUAAUUUUGUUGAGGACCGAAAAGAUAUUUAAUUUCACUUGUGCAUAUUUGUUGAAAAAAGAUUUUAUAUUUAUAGUUGUGAAUGUUUGACCUCAGAUUAUGUUAAAUGAUUCACUGUUUCACAACAAGUUUUUCUUUUCUGACCAUAAAGAAAAGUUUAAAAACACAAUUAACCAUCUGGUUUCUUCCACUCAGGAGCAAAAAUCAGCCUUUAAACCUGAAAAAAAUCACAUUUGACAUUUAUCCUGAUAGUUAUCAGUAUCGAAUGAUAUUAAAUGUUUUAUCAUGAUAAUAUUUUUGGCCAUAUCGCCCAGCUCUAAGCCAGCUGGCUGUAGCUUCAAAUACAGACAUGAGAGAGCUAUCGAUCUAAACAUCCCUCGCCCUUCAUAAUGUGUUUCUGUUGUUUUAGUAGUUUAUAUUGAGUUUAAGUUUAAAUAUUUGUACUUCAUUCUUAUGUGUUUGUCUAGAUUGAUUUAUUUUCACUUUGAUUCUCUGAUUAAAGAUUUGUUUCUGAAGCCUGA
Micropterus dolomieu (smallmouth bass) is the source of this 1635-nucleotide long non-coding RNA. RefSeq lists it as uncharacterized. The transcript has 3 exons. NCBI's taxonomy places the organism in Eukaryota, Metazoa, Chordata, Actinopteri, Centrarchiformes, Centrarchidae. The record is from RefSeq and is a predicted model, not a curated record.